RNAcentral lists this ribosomal RNA (480 nucleotides) under uncultured organism. Its description in RNAcentral is "partial 16S ribosomal RNA". It matches the Rfam family "Bacterial small subunit ribosomal RNA", at positions 330 to 801 of the family's 1533-position model. The record is from RNAcentral.
CGUACACUCCUGCGGGAGGCAGCAGUGGGGAAUAUUGCACAAUGGGCGCAAGCCUGAUGCAGCCAUGCCGCGUGUAUGAAGAAGGCCUUCGGGUUGUAAAGUACUUUCAGCGGGGAGGAAGGCAAUACGGUUAAUAACCGUGUUGAUUGACGUUACCCGCAGAAGAAGCACCGGCUAACUCCGUGCCAGCAGCCGCGGUAAUACGGAGGGUGCAAGCGUUAAUCGGAAUUACUGGGCGUAAAGCGCACGCAGGCGGUCUGUCAAGUCGGAUGUGAAAUCCCCGGGCUCAACCUGGGAACUGCAUUCGAAACUGGCAGGCUUGAGUCUUGUAGAGGGGGGUAGAAUUCCAGGUGUAGCGGUGAAAUGCGUAGAGAUCUGGAGGAAUACCGGUGGCGAAGGCGGCCCCCUGGACAAAGACUGACGCUCAGGUGCGAAAGCGUGGGGAGCAAACAGGAUUAGAAACCCCGGUAGUCCCAUGAU